This is a long non-coding RNA of Suricata suricatta (meerkat), 439 nucleotides long. RefSeq lists it as uncharacterized. The record is from RefSeq and is a predicted model, not a curated record. The transcript is spliced from 3 exons. Lineage: Eukaryota; Metazoa; Chordata; Mammalia; Carnivora; Herpestidae.
UCCUUACAAGAGAGAAAUUGGGACCCAGAGAUACUCGCAGAGAGAAGACGAUGUGAAGAUGGACACAGGGAGACACUGUGUGACCAGAGGCAGGGAAAGUCGGGUGAUAUGUCUAGAAGCCAAUAAACGCCAAAGAUUGCAACCACCAGAUGCUAAGAAGAAGCAAGGAAGGAUCCUCCCCCAGAGCCUUUGGAGAAAGCCUGGCUCUGUUGCCUCCUUGACCUUGGCUUUCUCGCCUUCCAAACUUUAUGAUCUACUCUUCAGAGACCUGUGAAGAUGAUGAGGUAACACUGAUACUGAUAAUAUUGUCUCCUUCCAUCCGGACACUGAUCUCUGUUACCAGGAGCCAGAAGCUCAGUGGCUUUUCACUGGAUGAAAUUGCUUUUCACCUGAUUCCUGCGGUGCAACGGGACUUAUGCAGACUUAGUAAGCAUCUCCA